Molecule: ribosomal RNA, 450 nt
Filed under: uncultured bacterium
Lineage: Bacteria
Description: partial 16S ribosomal RNA
Rfam family: Bacterial small subunit ribosomal RNA
Source: RNAcentral
CCUACGGGAGGCUGCAGUGGGGAAUCUUGCGCAAUGGGCGGAAGCCUGACGCAGCAACGCCGCGUGUGGGAAGACGGCUUUCGGGUUGUAAACCACUUUCAGGGGGGACGAAGCUUCCGAGGUUAAUAGCCUACGGGGUGACGGUACCCCCAGAAGAAGCCCCGGCUAACUACGUGCCAGCAGCCGCGGUAAUACGUAGGGGGCGAGCGUUGUCCGGAAUCACUGGGCGUCGGGCUCGUGUAGGCGGUGUGAAAUCUUGGGGCUUAACCCCAAGCCUGCACUGGAUACUGUCAAGCUUGAGUCCGGGAGGGGAGAGCGGAAUUCCUAGUGUAGCGGUGAAAUGCGCAGAUAUUAGGAAGAACACCGGUGGCGAAGGCGGCACUCUGGAACGGUACUGACGCUGAGACGCGAAAGCGUGGGGAGCGAACAGGAUUAGAUACCCCAGUAGUC